RNAcentral lists this ribosomal RNA (490 nucleotides) under uncultured bacterium. RNAcentral's name for it is "partial 16S ribosomal RNA". It matches the Rfam family "Bacterial small subunit ribosomal RNA", at positions 28 to 507 of the family's 1533-position model. The record is from RNAcentral.
GAUGAACGCUAGCUACAGGCUUAACACAUGCAAGUCGAGGGGCAGCAUGGUCUUAGCUUGCUAAGGCCGAUGGCGACCGGCGCACGGGUGAGUAACACGUAUCCAACCUGCCGUCUACUCUUGGACAGCCUUCUGAAAGGAAGAUUAAUACAAGAUGGCAUCAUGAGUCCGCAUGUUCACAUGAUUAAAGGUAUUCCGGUAGACGAUGGGGAUGCGUUCCAUUAGAUAGUAGGCGGGGUAACGGCCCACCUAGUCAUCGAUGGAUAGGGGUUCUGAGAGGAAGGUCCCCCACAUUGGAACUGAGACACGGUCCAAACUCCUACGGGAGGCAGCAGUGAGGAAUAUUGGUCAAUGGGCGCAGGCCUGAACCAGCCAAGUAGCGUGAAGGAUGACUGCCCUAUUGGUUGUAAACUUCUUUUAUAAAGGAAUAAAGUCGGGUAUGGAUACCCGUUUGCAUGUACUUUAUGAAUAAGGAUCGGCUAACUCCGUG